This 72-nucleotide transfer RNA is filed under the name Bos taurus (domestic cattle). It matches the Rfam family "tRNA". From Rfam's summary of the family: Transfer RNA (tRNA) molecules are approximately 80 nucleotides in length. Their secondary structure includes four short double-helical elements and three loops (D, anti-codon, and T loops). RNAcentral also lists the same sequence under 4 other names. The record is from Rfam by way of RNAcentral. Lineage: Eukaryota; Metazoa; Chordata; Mammalia; Artiodactyla; Bovidae.
UCCCUGGCAGUUCAGUGCUUAGGACUCAGCACUUUCACUGCCUUGGCCCGGGAUCAAUCCCUGGUCAGGGAA